GAUGAACGCUGACAGAAUGCUUAGCACAUGCAAGUCAACUUGAACUUCGGUUUGGGUGGCGGACGGGUGAGUAACGCGUAAAGAACUUGCCUCACAGCUAGGGACAACAUUUGGAAACGAAUGCUAAUACCUGAUAUUAUGAUUUUAGGGCAUCCUAGAAUUAUGAAAGCUAUAUGCGCUGUGAGAGAGCUUUGCGUCCCAUUAGCUAGUUGGAGAGGUAACGGCUCACCAAGGCGAUGAUGGGUAGCCGGCCUGAGAGGGUGAACGGCCACAAGGGGACUGAGACACGGCCCUUACUCCUACGGGAGGCGGCAGUGGGGAAUAUUGGACAAUGGACCAAGAGUCUGAUCCAGCAAUUCUGUGUGCACGAUGAAGUUUUUCGGAAUGUAAAGUGCUUUCAGUUGGGAAGAAAAAAAUGACGGUACCAACAGAAGAAGUGACGGCUAAAUACGUG
This 454-nucleotide ribosomal RNA is filed under the name uncultured bacterium. Its description in RNAcentral is "partial 16S ribosomal RNA". It matches the Rfam family "Bacterial small subunit ribosomal RNA", at positions 28 to 507 of the family's 1533-position model. The record is from RNAcentral.